GGAGGAUCCGAGCGUUAUCCGGAUUUAUUGGGUUUAAAGGGAGCGUAGAUGGGUUGUUAAGUCAGUUGUGAAAGUUUGCGGCUCAACCGUAAAAUUGCAGUUGAUACUGGUUUCCUUGAGUACAGUUGAGGUAGGCGGAAUUCGUGGUGUAGCGGUGAAAUGCUUAGAUAUCACGAAGAACUCCGAUUGCGAAGGCAGCUUACUAACCUGUAACUGACAUUGAUGCUCGAAAGUGUGGGUAUCAAACAGGAUUAGGUACCCUGGUAGUCCACACGGUAAACGAUGAAUACUCGCUGUAGGCGAUAUACAGUCUGCGGCCAAGCGAAAGCAUUAAGUAUCCCACCUGGGGAGU
This 352-nucleotide ribosomal RNA is filed under the name uncultured bacterium. RNAcentral's name for it is "bacterial SSU rRNA". It matches the Rfam family "Bacterial small subunit ribosomal RNA", at positions 527 to 881 of the family's 1533-position model. The record is from RNAcentral.